CAGAAAUGAUAGAAUAGCAGUUACCGGAGUCUAGGGAUCGUGGGAGGGAUGAUGGAGAGAGUCUGGUCAACAGUGGGCUGAAAAUUUGCCAAGAACACGGACGACUGGACAGUUCACUUUCAUUUGCAACAAUUUCCAAGAGGACCCUCGGUUACACAGCAUAAUUACCAAACUAAAGCAAACAUGUUAAAUGCCCUGCACCUUUUUUUGAGAUGCCAAGUAUGGCCUUCUUGGGUGCCAUGAAGCAGUAAGAUAGCCUCAGGCAUCAGCACACAUUCCAGGUCCAAAUCCAAUUCCCACGGCCCAGCAGGCAAGCUGGGACAGUGGAAAUGCGAGUAUAUGGCCCAGCAUUACUCCGGAGGACUGUGGGGGUGAGCGUGCCACUUCCCAGAACCGUGGCUCUGACAGCUUCAACUGCACUCACGUCAGUGCUAUUAAGAGAUGUUCCUAACUUCAAACAUUGUGAAAUCUCACCCCGCUCCGAGGACACAUCCCUCCAGAUCUGUCUCCGAUCAACACGGGAGGCUGUGCUUUGUGCUAUUAAAAAUUUCUCUGGAACAAGAAGGGCAAAAUGCUGAUGCUUCAUGAUGCAUACAUGGGGGUUUGUUACACAAUUAUCUCCAUUUUGUGCACAUUUAAAA
Molecule: long non-coding RNA, 641 nt
Filed under: Pan troglodytes (chimpanzee)
Lineage: Eukaryota; Metazoa; Chordata; Mammalia; Primates; Hominidae
Description: long non-coding RNA NONPTRT011868
Source: RNAcentral